This is a long non-coding RNA of Neofelis nebulosa (Clouded leopard), 1070 nucleotides long. RefSeq lists it as uncharacterized. The transcript is spliced from 3 exons. NCBI's taxonomy places the organism in Eukaryota, Metazoa, Chordata, Mammalia, Carnivora, Felidae. The record is from RefSeq and is a predicted model, not a curated record.
ACAGCCCUAUCUUCCCAGCAUUUGCUGAGCUUCCCAAAUGUAAGUGUUUUCUCCUUUGUGCAUUCACUGUACAUUAUUCACUUCCCUUGCAGAACUAGUGGAUGGUAUUUUUCUGUCCUUGCCUGUUUUCAUGCAUCUCUACCGCUACUAGCAUAUAGAACAGACUCUGUCUUUUAUUUAUAUUUCCAGCUCUUCCCCGGAUCGUGGCUAUGACUUGACAGAUACAGUAUGUGCUUGUCUUUUUGAGUGGGUGAGUGCAUGACCAAAUGAAUUAAUGUGAUAUUUUUCUGAAGUUGGGUUUUUGUUUUGUGCUGUUUUUCUAGGAAGGAACAGCAAAGUCAGCAAUGGAAGCAAAGGAAGGUGGUGUUGGUAUUAUUGAAAAUGUGCCACCAGAGUAAACAGUUAAUGACAGUUGGACUUCUGCUGGUGGAGUGCAUAAAAAUUACAGAAGUGAUAUGAUGUCAGCAUUAGAAUUAGGAGAAGAGGAAGAUGUGGAAUCACCUUCUCUUCCUGAGUAUCAAGUUCCAUUAAAGGUUGAAGAAAAAAAGAAGCACAGAGGAAGUGACAUGGAAGUAUCAGAAAACAUACAUGAUGCUGCGGCUGCUGGAUUAAUUCCACAAAGACAGAAUGGAAAAACUGAUAACCAUCAAAUGCCUAUUACAGAAAUAAGGAUUCUGAUAGGUAAGACUAUAGCAAUACUUAAGUAGUAGGUAAUUGUUAUUUUCCUAUUCAACAAACUUUUCUAGUUUGAGCUAAUGUUCAUGAUGAACAAAUUUCGUAUUUUUCGUGGAGAUAUUUUAUCCUACGUGCUAAUGAGAAAAAUGUAAAUACCAAUGAGAUACCAUUUUUUGCAGUCAUAGUGAUAAAUAUUUUAUUAAAAAAAUAACCAAAGUGAGGAAAUGUGAGCAAAAUGACAUUCUUAGACACUGUGGCUGGAUGUAAUUGGUGACUCCUUUCUGAAAGGUGAUUUAGCAGUGUAUUUCAAAAUUUCAAAUAUAUCGGGGCACCUGGGUGGCUCAGUUGGUUAAGCGUCCAACUUUGGCUCAGGUCAUGAUCUUGCACUUCACGAG